This 246-nucleotide ribosomal RNA is filed under the name Triticum aestivum (bread wheat). RNAcentral's name for it is "partial small subunit ribosomal RNA". Lineage: Eukaryota; Viridiplantae; Streptophyta; Magnoliopsida; Poales; Poaceae. The record is from RNAcentral.
AUGGGGCUUUGGACCUUUAAUCAGGCAUUAGCACGCCGAGAGCUUAUGAGGAUGAUAGUGUUGCAUGAAUUGGCAUUCUCAUUGGUGGAAUAUGAUGGAUUUAGAAGAUUUGUCUCUAGUCUAAAUCCUAGCUUUAAGAUGAUAUGUAGAAAAACAGUGAAGGAGGACUGCAUGAAAGCAUUUAAGGAAGAGAAGAGAAUUCUGCAAAGGAUGUUCCAAAACUCCAAAAAUCCAAGAUUUCUUUGA